Molecule: long non-coding RNA, 1357 nt
Filed under: Olea europaea (common olive)
Lineage: Eukaryota; Viridiplantae; Streptophyta; Magnoliopsida; Lamiales; Oleaceae
Description: long non-coding RNA (OEUR_LNC009128)
Source: RNAcentral
UUUAAACCUUGAAAUAAUUUCGAAUUUCACAAAUUUACACUGUUUCGUAUUCCCAGAACACUGAGAAGAAAAAUACUAACUAGCAAGGUGGAAUAAAAACGAAAAUAAAAUAUCCAACUAGAUGUAAACCAGUUCCAGAUCUUCAAAUGAACACGCCAUCACUCUUUCAAAUCAUUCCAAAGCUGAAGCAGUUAUCAAAAUUCAAGACAGUACACAGUCACGACCGCAAAUUUUCAAAAUGAAAAAAUAAAAAUAAAAAAGUCCUCCCACCAAAAUACCAAGUACCCGUCUUAUCUCCCCUUAAACCUUGAAAACCCUUUGAAUUCCACAAUUUUUUGCCAGGAGGUCUAGAUGGCGGUUCUUGAGAAGGAGAUCCAGUGAGCUGCUGAACUAUAUUACGGAAAUCAUUCUUGUUAAUAUUGUAGACUUGGGGUUGAGGCUGUUGCCUAGCAGGGCCAGAAAAAUUGGGCUGGUGUAAAGGACUCUUCUUAAUGUUUUUUCCCAUCUUGUUCACACCCAAAUGAUCAAUCUGUCUAUUCAUCUGCCCAGGCAGAUUUGAAUUAUCCAUUUUCCCUUUUCAAGUCAACAACUAUACUUCAACAAUGCAAAAGCUCAAUUCUUCCUGAAUAAAAUAUCCCACUAGAUUUAAAACGGUUCUAGAUCUUCAAAUGAACAUGGCCACCUAUCUUUCAAAUCAUUACAAAGAUAAAGCGAACAAUCAAAACUUCAAGAUAACACAGAAUCAAGACUGUAUCUUUUUUCCUUUAAACCUUGAAAUAAUUUCGAAUUUCACAAAUUUACACUGUUUCUUAUUCCCAAAACACUGAGAAGAAAAAUACUAACUAGCAAGGUGGAAUAAAAACGAAAAUAAAAUAUCCCACUAGAUGUAAACCAGUUCCAGAUCUUCAAAUGAACACGCCAUCACUCUUUCAAAUCAUUCCAAAGCUGAAGCAGUAAUCAAAAUUCAAGACAGUACACAGUCACGACCGCAAAUUUUCAAAAUGAAAAAAUAAAAAUAAAAAAGUCCUCCCACCAAAAUACCAAGUACCCGUCUUAUCUCCCCUUAAACCUUGAAAACCCUUUGAAUUCCACAAUUUUUUGCCAGAACAUGGAGAAGAUCAUUAAUAGCUUGCAAGGUAGAGUAAAAAUGGAAAUAAACACUACCGAAAAUUAAAAAUAAGAGAAACCAAACCCUAGUACGGAGUAGCGGCUAAGAAGGGUGUCCACCGGUCAACGAGGAAAAUGAAAUGCAAACGGAAAUAGAAUUACGAAUUUACGAUAAUGAUUAUGUGUUUUACCAGUUGGGAAAAAGAUGAAAUGAGCACAGUGGGGUCUCCGUUGAAUGCGCGUUUUUUUU